UCUCCCGUGAGGGAGCAGUCUCGCCUGAGAAUAUAACAGGCAACGGGGGUUGCGUUCGUUACCCCACUGAAGGGAACAGUUCAAACCACGAACUGACGACGACCAUGCAUCACCUGUGCAGCACCCUCGAAGGCUCCCAACGUUUCUGCUGGGAUGCAGCUGCAUUUCUAACCUUGGUAAGGUUCUUCGUUUGCCGACGAAUUAAGCCACAUAAUCCACCGCUUGUGCGAGUCCCCGUCUAUUCCUUUGAGUUUUAAGCUUGCGCUCGUACUACCCAGGCGGCUCGCUUACCGCGUUAGCUUAGUCCCGCAGAGGGUCGAUACUCCGCAGAACGAGCGAGCAGCGUUUAGGGCUAGGACUAC
This 362-nucleotide unclassified non-coding RNA is filed under the name uncultured bacterium. RNAcentral describes it as "contains 16S-23S intergenic spacer region". The record is from RNAcentral.